RNAcentral lists this ribosomal RNA (933 nucleotides) under uncultured archaeon. Its description in RNAcentral is "bacterial SSU rRNA". It matches the Rfam family "Archaeal small subunit ribosomal RNA", at positions 1 to 922 of the family's 1478-position model. The record is from RNAcentral.
UUCCGGUUGAUCCUGCCGGACCCGACUGCUAUUUGGGUGAGGAUAAGCCAUGCGAGUUGAAUGGGAAACCUAAAGUUCCCAUGGCAAACUGCUCAGUAACACAUGAUCAACUUAACCUAUAGAGAAAAAUAACCUCGGGAAACUGAGGAUAAUGUUUCAUAGCUGAAUUGGCUUGGAAAAGUUUUUCGGCGAAAGGGGUAAAAAAAAUGGUUUUUAUCUGCUAUAGGAUAGGAUCGUGUUCGAUUAUGGUUGUUGGUGAGGUAAUGGCUCACCAAGCCGAUAAUCGAUAGGGGCCGUGAGAGCGGGAGCCCCGAGAUGGGUACUGAGACAACGACCCAGGCCUUACGAGGCGCAGCAGGCGCGAAACCUCCGCAAUACACGAAAGUGUGACGGGGUUACCCAAAGUGUUCAAUAGAACUGUGGUAGGUGAGUAAUGUUCCCUACUAGAAAGGAGAGGGCAAGGCUGGUGCCAGCCGCCGCGGUAAAACCAGCUCUUCAAGUGGUCGGGAUAAUUAUUGGGCUUAAAGUGUCCGUAGCCGGUUCAGUAAGUUCCUGGUAAAAUCGGGUAGCUUAACUAUCUAUAUGCUAGGAAUACUACUAUACUAGAGGGCGGGAGAGGUCUGAGGUACUACAGGGGUAGGGGUGAAAUCUUAUAAUCCUUGUUGGACCACCAGUGGCGAAGGCGUCAGACUGGAACGCGCCUGACGGUGAGGGACGAAAGCCAGGGGAGCGAACCGGAUUAGAUACCCGGGUAGUCCUGGCCGUAAACGAUGCAUACUAGGUGAUGGCACGGCCAUGAGCCGUGUCAGUGCCGUAGGGAAACCGUUAAGUGUGCCGCCUGGGAAGUACGGUCGCAAGGCUAAAACUUAAAGGAAUUGGCGGGGGAGCACCACAAGGGGUGAAGCCUGCGGUUCAAUUGGAUUCAACGCCGGA